AAUCAACGCUGGCGGCGUGCCUCAGACAUGCAGGUCGAACGAUUAAAAGCUCUCUUCGGAGAGUGCAUAGAGUGGCGCACGGGUGAGUAACACGUAAGUAAUCUACCUUCGAGGUGGGAAUAACGUCCGGAAACGGACGCUAAUACCGCAUAAUGCAGCGGCAUCGUUAGAUGACAGUUGUUAAAGAUUUAUCGCUUGAAGGAGGAGCUUGCGGCAGAUUAGCUAGUUGGUAAGGUAAUGGCUUACCAAGGCUACGAUCUGUAACCGGUCUUAGAGGACGGUCGGUCACACUGACACUGAA
RNAcentral lists this ribosomal RNA (301 nucleotides) under uncultured bacterium. Its description in RNAcentral is "bacterial SSU rRNA". It matches the Rfam family "Bacterial small subunit ribosomal RNA", at positions 32 to 323 of the family's 1533-position model. The record is from RNAcentral.